RNAcentral lists this non-coding RNA (45 nucleotides) under Schistosoma margrebowiei. Lineage: Eukaryota; Metazoa; Platyhelminthes; Trematoda; Strigeidida; Schistosomatidae. The record is from RNAcentral.
AUCUAGCUGACGAUUCCAAAAUAGGACGAAACCAGAGUACUGGAU